GUGCUUAUUUCGGCAGCACGUACACUAAAAUUGGAAAAUACAGAGAAGAUUAGCAUGGCCCCUGUUUAAGGAUGAACUCCUAAGACUUACCAACAUUCGCACUUCUU
Molecule: small nuclear RNA, 107 nt
Organism: Suncus etruscus (white-toothed pygmy shrew)
Lineage: Eukaryota; Metazoa; Chordata; Mammalia; Eulipotyphla; Soricidae
Source: RefSeq, a predicted model, not a curated record